Molecule: ribosomal RNA, 478 nt
Filed under: uncultured bacterium
Lineage: Bacteria
Description: bacterial SSU rRNA
Rfam family: Bacterial small subunit ribosomal RNA
Source: RNAcentral
GACGAACGCUGGCGGCGUGCCUAAUACAUGCAAGUCGAACGGUCUUUUCUAUGGAAGCUUGCUUCCACUGAGAAGAUAGUGGCGAACGGGUGAGUAACACGUGGGUAACCUGCCCAUAAGAGGGGGAUAACAUCCGGAAACGGGUGCUAAUACCGCAUAGUUUUCUUGAUUGCAUGAUUGAGAAAGGAAAGACGGCCUUUGUGCUGUCGCUUAUGGAUGGACCCGCGGCGUAUUAGUUAGUUGGUGAGGUAACGGCUCACCAAGACGAUGAUACGUAGCCGACCUGAGAGGGUGAUCGGCCACAUUGGAACUGAGACACGGUCCAAACUCCUACGGGAGGCAGCAGUGGGGAAUAUUGGGCAAUGGAGGAAACUCUGACCCAGCAACGCCGCGUGAAGGAGAAGGUUUUCGGAUCGUAAACUUCUAUCCUUGGUGAAAUAAAAGAUGGUAGCCAAGAGGAAGCCCCGGUAACUACGUG